UACGGAGGGUGCAAGCGUUAUCCGGAUUCACUGGGCUUAAAGGGUGCGUAGGCGGGUAAGUAAGUUUGGUGUGAAAUCUCCUGGCUCAACUGGGAGGGUGCGCCGGAAACUGGAGUGCUUGAGCGUGGGAGAGGAAAGCGGAAUUCCUGGUGUAGCGGUGAAAUGCGUAGAUAUCAGGAGGAACACCUGUGGUGUAGACGGCUUUCUGGACCAUAGCUGACGCUGAGACACGAAAGCGUGGGUAGCAAACAGG
This 253-nucleotide ribosomal RNA is filed under the name uncultured bacterium. Its description in RNAcentral is "partial 16S ribosomal RNA". It matches the Rfam family "Bacterial small subunit ribosomal RNA", at positions 524 to 776 of the family's 1533-position model. The record is from RNAcentral.